Molecule: ribosomal RNA, 274 nt
Filed under: uncultured bacterium
Lineage: Bacteria
Description: partial 16S ribosomal RNA
Rfam family: Bacterial small subunit ribosomal RNA
Source: RNAcentral
AUACGGAGGGUGCAAACGUUGUUCGGAAUCACUGGGCAUAAAGAGCAUGUAGGCUGUCCACUCAGUCAGAUGUGAAAGCCCCCGGCUCAACCGGGGAACUGCAUCUGAUACUGGUGGGCUUGAGGAUGGUUGGGGUGAGCGGAACUCCUGGUGGAGCGGUGAAAUGCGUAGAUAUCAGGAGGAACACCGGUGGCGAAGGCGGCUCACUGGACCAUUACUGACGCUGAGAUGCGAAAGCUAGGGGAGCGAACGGGAUUAGAAACCCCAGUAGUCC